This 252-nucleotide ribosomal RNA is filed under the name Intestinibacter bartlettii DSM 16795. RNAcentral describes it as "partial 16S ribosomal RNA". It matches the Rfam family "Bacterial small subunit ribosomal RNA", at positions 524 to 776 of the family's 1533-position model. The record is from RNAcentral. Lineage: Bacteria; Bacillati; Bacillota; Clostridia; Peptostreptococcales; Peptostreptococcaceae.
UACGUAGGGGGCUAGCGUUAUCCGGAUUUACUGGGCGUAAAGGGUGCGUAGGCGGUCUUUUAAGUCAGGAGUGAAAGGCUACGGCUCAACCGUAGUAAGCUCUUGAAACUGGAGGACUUGAGUGCAGGAGAGGAGAGUGGAAUUCCUAGUGUAGCGGUGAAAUGCGUAGAUAUUAGGAGGAACACCAGUAGCGAAGGCGGCUCUCUGGGAUAACACUGACGUUCAUGCUCGAAAGCGUGGGUAGCAAACAGG